GGGAGUACGGUCGCAAGACUGAAACUCAAAGGAAUUGACGGGGGCCCGCACAAGCGGUGGAGUAUGUGGUUUAAUUCGAUGCAACGCGAAGAACCUUACCUGGUCUUGACAUGUCGAGAACUUUCCAGAGAUGGAUUGGUGCCUUCGGGAACUCGAACACAGGUGCUGCAUGGCUGUCGUCAGCUCGUGUCGUGAGAUGUUGGGUUAAGUCCCGCAACGAGCGCAACCCUUGUCCUUAGUUGCCAGCACGUAAUGGUGGGAACUCUAAGGAGACCGCCGGUGACAAACCGGAGGAAGGUGGGGAUGACG
RNAcentral lists this ribosomal RNA (309 nucleotides) under uncultured bacterium. Its description in RNAcentral is "bacterial SSU rRNA". It matches the Rfam family "Bacterial small subunit ribosomal RNA", at positions 876 to 1184 of the family's 1533-position model. The record is from RNAcentral.